This 174-nucleotide unclassified non-coding RNA is filed under the name uncultured fungus. Its description in RNAcentral is "sequence contains ITS2". Lineage: Eukaryota; Fungi. The record is from RNAcentral.
CAACCCCCAGGCCCUCGUUGCCUGUUGUUGGGGCGUUCAGGGCUGGUCUAACGACCCCCUGAGCCCUGAAAAGCAGUGGCGGGCUCGCCAGGUCACCGAGCGUAGUAAUUUUCUCUCGCUUAGGGGCCCGGCGGGUGCUAGCCGUGAAAACGCAGAAACGCACUUUCUACAGUG